This 493-nucleotide ribosomal RNA is filed under the name uncultured bacterium. RNAcentral's name for it is "partial 16S ribosomal RNA". It matches the Rfam family "Bacterial small subunit ribosomal RNA", at positions 29 to 508 of the family's 1533-position model. The record is from RNAcentral.
AUUGAACGCUGGCGGCAUGCUUUACACAUGCAAGUCGAACGGUAACAGGCCUUCGGGUGCUGACGAGUGGCGAACGGGUGAGUAAUGCAUCGGAACGUACCCAGAGGUGGGGGAUAACGCAGCGAAAGCUGUGCUAAUACCGCAUGUGAUCUGAGGAUGAAAGCGGGGGACCGAGCAGCAAUGUUUGGCCUCGCGCCUUUGGAGCGGCCGAUGUCGGAUUAGCUAGUUGGUGGGGUAAAGGCCUACCAAGGCGACGAUCCGUAGCUGGUCCGAGAGGACGACCAGCCACACUGGGACUGGGACACGGGCCAGACUCCUACGGGAGGCAGCAAUGGGGAAUUUUGGACAAUGGGGGCAAGCCUGAUCCAGCAAUGCCGCGUGCGGGAAGAAGGCCUUCGGGUUGUAAACCGCUUUUGGCAGGAACGAAACGGUGUCCGCUAAUACCGGGCGCUAAUGACGGUACCUGCAGAAUAAGCACCAGCUAACUACGUGC